RNAcentral lists this ribosomal RNA (708 nucleotides) under Triticum aestivum (bread wheat). RNAcentral describes it as "partial small subunit ribosomal RNA". Lineage: Eukaryota; Viridiplantae; Streptophyta; Magnoliopsida; Poales; Poaceae. The record is from RNAcentral.
AUGAUCCUAGUAUCACCAACCAAGCGACCACAACACUUCCAGUGCCGAUCAUCACACGCGGCCGUGGCCCUCCAUCUGCUACUUCUCGGUGUAGCACUGGCAAUGGCGAGCGGCACCACAAGGGCACACGCCGUCCACGCGCCGUGCUGCAACCUGCUCCAGGGGGUGAACCUGGCGCCGUGCCUGGCGAUGGCGGCGUCAGGCGGCGGCGCCGUGAACAUAAGCGCCGCCUGCUGCUCGUCGCUGAACGAGGCGCUCGACGCCGGCCGCCGCUGCCUGUGCUCGCUGCUGCUGGCCAACGGCGUGCUCGCCGGCCUCGUCGCCACCCUGAUCCCCACGCUCCCCAUGGUGCUGCCGCUGCCCGGGUGCUACCUCUACGCGCCUCCUCUCGCGGCCUGCCAAGUGACGUUGCUGCAGACGAGUUAUGAUGCGCCGCCGGCGUCGGCAUCUGUGGCUGCGGGCGUGGGGGAUGCUGCUGGCGGCGCGGUGGAUCCGGCGCCUCCUCAGGCCGACAUCGCGCCGCCGCCUAAGAAUGGUAGUGUGGCUGGGACGAAGGAUGGUGGGAGGACGGACGGGAGCGGAGGCAAUGGCUCUAGGGAGGAGCAGAGCGUUAGAAGGAGCGAAGCAUACCGGCGGCCCGGCGUUGGUGAGGGUAGGAUGUACAUGCUGAUCUUUGCGGCGGUCAUGGCUGUAUUUUUGUUCGAUUAA